AGAGUUUGAUCAUGGCUCAGGACGAACGCUGGCGGCGUGCCUAAUACAUGCAAGUCGAGCGGGUUCAUCCUUCGGGAUGGGCUAGCGGCGGACGGGUGAGUAACACGUAGGCAACCUGCCUGUAAGCCCGGGAUAACCCACGGAAACGUGAGCUAAAACCGGAUACGUGAGAGGAAGGCAUCUUCUUCUCUGGAAAUGCG
Molecule: ribosomal RNA, 200 nt
Filed under: uncultured bacterium
Lineage: Bacteria
Description: partial 16S ribosomal RNA
Rfam family: Bacterial small subunit ribosomal RNA
Source: RNAcentral